Molecule: ribosomal RNA, 180 nt
Filed under: uncultured bacterium
Lineage: Bacteria
Description: partial 16S ribosomal RNA
Rfam family: Bacterial small subunit ribosomal RNA
Source: RNAcentral
UGAAGCUGGAAUCGCUAGUAAUCGCGGAUCAGAAUGCCGCGGUGAAUACGUUCCCGGGUCUUGUACACACCGCCCGUCACACCAUGGGAGUCGGGAAUGCCCGAAGCCGGUGGCCCAAUCGAAAGAAGGGAGCCGUCGAAGGCAGGCCGGAUGACUGGGGUGAAGUCGUAACAAGGUACC